Molecule: long non-coding RNA, 571 nt
Filed under: Canis lupus familiaris (dog)
Lineage: Eukaryota; Metazoa; Chordata; Mammalia; Carnivora; Canidae
Description: lncRNA (ENSCAFG00040016742.1)
Source: RNAcentral
UAUGAUAGAAUAAAAUACUACUAAACAUUUAGGUUAUUAUAUUUAAUUGGAAAGAAGUUAUAUUUUUUCAUUUUUUAAAAUAUUUUAUUUAUUUUCAAGAGAGAAAGAGAGAAUGCAAAAGGAGAAGGGCAGAGGAAAAGGGAAAGAGAGAAUCUCAAGCAGAUUCCACGCUGAGUUUGGAGCCCUACUUGGGGCUUGAUCCCACAACCUUGAGAUCAUGACCUGAGCAAAAAUCAAGAUUGAUUUUGACUGUCAACCAGGUGCCCCAGAGGUUACAUAAUUUUAAAAAUGUACUUUAAGAUUAUAUGGAUUUUUGCAACAUAAAUAUUCCAAGGUAAAUAAUUUUUUAUUGCCCAGCUCUGCUCUGGAUCUUUAUUGCCCAGCUCUGCUCUGGACCAUUUCUCAGUCCACCUUGCCAUCUACUUCUGGCCAUGUUCUGGUAAUUAAGUCCUUGGAAGAUGAUUGCAAAACUGAGAUGGGAGAGAAACCACAAUAUAUGUUUCAAGAUUCUAGUUGCUUUCAGACAAAUUUGUUCUUAGAAGUUGUAUCAACCACAGAAGAAAAGGAAUAA